This is a non-coding RNA of Rhea pennata, 81 nucleotides long. The record is from the annotation of a RefSeq genome assembly. Lineage: Eukaryota; Metazoa; Chordata; Aves; Rheiformes; Rheidae.
GGCUGGUUAGCUCAGAGCUCAGUUGGUUAGAGCGUGGUGCUAAUAACGCCAAGGUCGCGGGUUCAAUCCCCGCACGGGCCA